GGGGAGGAAAGGGAGGGGGGAGGGAAAUGUCACCCGGCGGGCGCGGUGCUGAGGGACGGAGCGAGGGGACGGAGGGACGGGGAGCGCCGCCGGCUGUCAAGCAGAGCAGUUGCCAAGUGAUCUUCUCCACAGCACCCACGAACUUUGGCCUUACAUGAAGAGGACUCAUCAAAUGCCUUGGGAGAUACAACACAGAAUUGGAAGAGAAGCAUGGAUCUCCACGGAGGGCAGUCCGCUGCAUUCUUGGUGUGUGGAGGAACGGGUCCUGUGCUCACUGUUGUUACUCCCACAUAGGCGGACUCUGUAACUGAUUAUAUGUGGGUAGGGCCCUAUUGAAAUUAAGGAGAUUCUGCAGUAGUGCGGGGUUCUGUUUGUGUGACCCCACUGUGCCUUCUUACUGUGAAUUCUGUCAGUGUAUCAUGGGUUGUGCUGGAACCUGCCUUUUGGGAUAAUUACCAAAUAAUAUAUUCCUCAAAACUUCUUAAUGGCACUGAGGCUUUGUGGAUAGUUGGUCACAUGAUGAGAAAAUUCAGCUGUGUCCUUUAAGACAGCACAAGGUACCAGUUUCAUCUGCCGUAGCUUUGUGGCACAAAACUGCACAUCUCUGUUUGCCCUGGAUCAGCCGUGACCAAAAUGCAACCCAUGCAGAAUUACAGCUUUUCUGUAAAUAAAAGUUUGUAGGCCUUAUUGUCUGAUGAUAAAUUUUUAAAUAUGAAUCAAAUGUAAAUUGGUCCCUUUUUCCUAAACCUGAAUAUAUAUAUAUAUACAUAUAUUUAUAGAUAUUUAAACUAUGCUUCUGUCUAAUCCUGUGUCUGUAAUGUUAUGGUCAUAUUGGCCUUGCUUCUGUUUACAAAUGUAUGGCCAAACGCGAAUGUCAGUUUGCUGCUACUUCAGAAAGCCAGAAGCAAAUAGCAGGUCCUAAAAUCAAUCUCAGGGGAAAUCAGAUAGAAGAGCAGAAAUGUUUAAAACAGCAACCAGAAGGUCUGGAGGGAGGGAGUAGGGAACAUCAUCGUAUUUCUGAAAUAGCAGGAAUGGUUUCCAAGCUGUGGUCUGCUAACCCCUGAUGGGCUACAAGGCUUUGAUAAGUUGAACAGCAAUUGGGCUAAACCAUAUCUAAUGGUGUUUUAAACAGCCCCUUCAAUUAAAAGUUUUAUCAGAUGGGCGUGUGCUGUUUUGUGAAAAAUGUUAAGGGCUGACAGCAAUCACUUGCUCCAGAAAUUUGGGCUCUGCUCUUCUGGUGUGUAUGAAAAGGUAGAGAGCGCUGCCUGCUUUUUCAACAUCACAUAGGCCACGUGCCUCUGCAGGAGAAGCAGCAGCAAGAGGUUCCCGGAGGGAGCCAGGAGGAUCAAGCUGGUAGCAGUAACCUUCUGUUCCACCACGUCCUUCCCAGGAACUAGUAAAAGAACUGCUGCUUUUUUAACUGUUGCCUUCUCCUGAGUAUCACUAACAGUUUUUGCUCCUCUUCCUUUGCAUCUGUGCUCGUGAAUAGUGGAUUUAGUGGCUUGAGAAGUGAGGAUUGGAUCCCCAUCGCACAAAGAUUAGACUUCUCAAUGAAAUGAAAAAACAUAUACAGCUUUGAAUGCUUAUCUGAUUUGCUAUCAACAUUAGCAGAUGCAAACUUUUCUUAUGAGUAUUAGCUCGUCUUAUUACAAGAUCAGUUUAUUACUCUAAAAAAAUCCACUUCUGUUUGACUGCGCUCUUUAAUUUACAUAAGCUGCCUGCAUGGUAAUUGUAAAAACCUUCCUCUUCCUCCUAUCAAGCCUCCUAUUCUUAAUAUUAUCCACACUGACAAUUUUCCAGAAUCGUAAUGUAUUUAUAUUAGCUAUGCUUUCAGUUGCCCCAAUGUAGGUUACUUUCUGUUGUCAUGAAUACCAUACAAGCACAUCAAUAAAUAAUUUGCAGAGAUUAUAUCUUUUCCAACAUAUUGUGCAUCUUUUUAGCAACCACAGUGGUGUUGAAGUGGAGAAAUUAUAAUAUUAUUAUAAAUCAUAAAUUCAAAUUAUAAAUCUUAUUCAAAUGGUAUAAAUGUGUUUAUCCUGAAGAAGUCUGUUGUCUAAUCUAAAAUUAGAUUGUAGCAUAUGUAUUAUAUGAAAUGUAAACAAAAUAGUACUGGAAACAAAAGUUACAGUAAUAAUGUUCUAAGGGAAUUAAAGUAGUUUGUCAGGCUAGCGUGCUCUGUGUAACCCUUUUUUGUUGCAUCUUUCCUAUUCCUGCUUUUUUGAUACAUAUGUAGGAAGUGAGUUUUGUGAAUGCUUCUAUAUGGUUGUUAUUAAUAUUAUAUUAUUAUUACUAAAUGUCUUUUGCUAACUGAUAUGAUUCUGCAGUUACCUUUCAGUGUUCUAAUAUGCAAUGUGCACAUGGUUGGUUUGCCCUGUUCACGUGCACAGGGCUAAGCUGGGUAUAAGGUCAGAAGGAAAUCUUUGCCUUGUGUCAGAAAGAAACAAGAGAGGAGAGUGUUUUUCUACCACUUUAGCAUGGAAAAAAGUUAUUUACCAGUGUUGUCUGGGGGUGAUUGGAGAGGAUAAAUACGCCUAUAAGCAAGGCAUAUGGGUACAGAAGCAGUGAUGGGGUAUACGGGUAGGGCUGAAGAUCAGUGUAUAGGAGUAAAGAUUUAGUGGCAGGGAUCAGGAAAGGAUUCCUGUAGGAGCUGGAGAGGUCACAGCUGGAUAAAGGCGUUGGGGUCAGCUGGAAGUCAGUACCCCAAAAAUGGCUAUGGCUCUCCACCACAGGCUCACUGCACACUUUCCCUACCUGUUCUCUCCCACGUCUUCUGGAAUCCCAGCUUCUUGUCUGAUUGUGAACUGGAAACCUUACUUUCCUGCUUACUCCAGAAACAAGGACACACACUAGUACAAAAGGCCCCUCAAACCCCUCCUGGGAGCACAAUAAUGCCUCUGCUUCACCAGAUAGUUUGCAUCUUCUCCAAGUGGGAUGUAACCCAUCAUUUGAAAUCUGCUCAUCAAAGAGGAGUUCGUUCAUUCUUCUUCCCCCUAUUCGUUAGAACGUGAUAAUUUUUUUUUCCUUUGUGCUGAAAUACAGCUUUUUUGAUAAUGUUUAACUUACCAAGAAGCAGAACAGUUCAGGAUUUCUAGAGCCUAAUCUAAUUCACAAUUCCUUGUGAUCUAGGACCUUCUUAAAAAAAAUAAAAAAAUCCAGUGGAUGAUUGCACCUACUGCUGAUACGUUGAAGCUUUCUGACAAUAUGCUUCAUUUUUUUAAUUACUAUUUUGCAGCCCACUUGAAAAUUGUUCAUGAAACCGCAAGACUCUGCAGAGAGAUUGAGAGCCACUUUCUAAGGGGAUAUCUUUAAAUGCAAGUUACUGUGUUGGUGGUUUUUUGAAAUUCAGGUGUUGGGUUUUUUUCUUUUAUCCCAUCUGUGAAACACCAAAGUGUUGAUAACCAUCUGUGAAACAACAUUUGAUGUAAUGGCUAUGACACUGCUUUAGAAAUCUUGUGAAAUAGAUUGUGUGGUUAGAAGAGCUGACAUCUAAAAAUGUAUGUCAUGGAUGUAGGUAAUAAAUGUUGCUUGGGAACUGUUGCAGGGGAAAAAGAACUUGAUUUGUGUACAAUAUACUGGUCUUAACUUUUUAGCUCUUUAAAAUCUCUUUCUUAGUAUUUUCCUGUAUGUUCGUUGUAAAGUAUUUAAAGAUACGAGUCAUUGCAUUUGCCAAAGUAUUCAGUGCAUCAUUUAAAAUUACUACCAAAGGAGAGAGGUGGAUUCACUUCACAUAACAGCUAAGCAUAAAAAUAAUGAUUUGGAAAUAAUCGUGUGGUUCCAAAGCAGUAAAAAUCAUUUUGUUUUUCUAUAUGAGCAGAGCUCUGCGCAGAACGGUGAUCUCAUUCUACCUUACCAGAUUACAGUUACCUACGUAGAUUGUCAGUACUAAACUUUAUCCUGGUGAUUUUGUAACUUUAUUCAGAAAAAGGGAGAAAUGCAAACACUUAAAUUUUAAGUAAUCGCUCUUUGUCCGUGGUAAAAGAUUGCAAGCACAAGCUUAGUAUUUCCCUCCAGGAUUGGAUUCAUAGUCCUUCAAGUUUUGCAAUUAACAGGGAAUGUGCAGGUGAAUAGGGAAAAGCAAAUGUGAAAGGAAAAAAAUCAGAUGGAGUGGAGAAAAUUUCCCUUCCUUUAUUUUACUUCCUUUACUUUUCCUGGAGAAAAGAAGACUGCGUGGUGACCUCCAACCUUUCAAUACCUAAGGGGAAGGAGGAGAACCAACUCUUUGAAAGGGUAGAUAAUAGCAGGACAAGGGGAAAUGGUUUUAAGUUGGGGGAGGGAAGAUUUAAUUUGGAUGUCAGGGGGAAGUUCUUUACUAUGAGAGUGGUGAGGUGCUGGCACAGGCUGCCCAGAGAGGUUGUGGAUGCCCCAUCCAUGGAGAUGUUCAUGGCCAGGUUGGAUGGGACCCUGGGCAGCUUGGUUGGUGGCCCUGCAUGUGGUGGGGGGUUGAAGAUUCACACACAGAAUCACACACACAGUGAUCCUCGAGGUCCCUUCCAACCCUGGCCAUUCUGUGAUUCUGUGACUUACAGAAGGAAGGGCAAGAUGAAAGUGUGUAAUGAGCACAGGAGAAAUAACAGGGUGAAAAGGGAGGAAUAAUGUUCAGUGCUCAGACUUGUAAUGCUUUGCGCGUGUGUGGAAGAUAGAUUGAGAUUUCUGCUUUCUGACUAACUGCUGUACUGAGACGUACUUUAUUCCAUGUCCUUUUUUGCCUUCCUGUGGUUGCUUCUAAAAAAGGGUUGAAAUUAUCUUUCUGAGGCAACCUCAAUCACAAAGUGCACUAUCUCCCUCAUUGUUCUGUCUUCCUAACCUAGCCAUCUAAAAACACUGCUGGAAACACAAAUAAUAAAAAAGCCAGUUUUAUAUAUAUAUAUAUAUAUAUAUAUAUAUAUUUGCUAUUGUUAAUUCCACUCACUGGCAUUUGGGACAGAGGACAGCAUACAGAAAGGCUGUAACACUGAACGGUGGCAAAAAUUCUGUGCAAAACCUUGUUGUAAUAACAAUGGAAGUGAAAAUUAGCCUCGUUUUUCAAGUUGUUUUUUUUGUCAAGUUCUUGUCCACACCGUGUUCGAGGCUGUUCAUUCUAGAUGGAACACUUAUAGCCAAUACUUUAUAUACCAUCCUCAAAGAGCAAUGUGAAAUAUAAGUGACUGUCUAAAUCCAGAAGAGGUUUAUCCAUCUCUACAUCAGUUUGUCAGAAUUUAAAUGGAAAGUGAGACUGAACAGGAAACUGUAAAUAUAUUAAAAUAUAUUAUAAAAAUAUAAAUACAUAAACUCUAACUGCUAAUUUAUCAUCAUUCAACCAGACUAGGCGAAGUCACUUCAUAAGCAAAUGUAGGUAUAGAUCAACAGACUACUCACAUGAGCCUUUGUUACAGGUUAGACAUCAGUGUAUGGAUUUCAUCCAUGAUCUGUAAUAAAAUAACAUAAAUUAGGAAGAUGGCAAAAAAGGUUUAAUUCAUUAGUUUGUUCAUUUGUAUGUCUACAUGUUUCUGAAGAGUAUAUAUGGCCUUAAAGCAGAGUAAAUUGGGAAAGUAUGGGGUUUUUUUUAACUGCACAAUUAAUGUUUAUAUAGCCAGUAGUUCUGGUCUUCAUGAGUUAUAAUGCUAAAAACUUGUUUAUUUUUAAACAAACCUCCUGUUUUCUUCCAUUCACUUGGUGCUAUGCAUAAAACACCUUAGCUGUCCACCUGAGCACCACUACAUUGUCACUGAGCCCUUAGCUGAUGCACGGCAGUGUGCAUCCCUACAACAGAAACAGAACAGAAAUGGGUGGUGCAAGGACAGCACUUACGGUGCCAAUUCACAAUUAAUUUUUGGGUGAUAACAUCUACUUCUUGGAAGGUAGAACAACUCAGUAUUAAUUUCUACUAAUAGAAAGAUACAGGCCUUUGUAAGAAUUACACUACGAAUUGCUGUGUUACAGGAUUCAUUUUCAUGUGUAGUGUCUGUGCCAUUGCACAGGAGAAUUUGGACAGCAGUCUGUAAGGGCACCCAGUAACGGUAAGAAGACUGAAAAACUAAUGUAGCUGUGCUCUGUUCAUUCAAAAAGGAUAUUGAAAUUAAAAGCAGACACAACUUUGGGAAGUUCUAGAUAACAGACUUCAUGCUGUAUGUUAAAUUUAGCUGCUAUCAUUAUGUUGCUUUGCAUUAGCGUUGUACUAUUUUCCAUCAAAGGUCUAUCGUUCUUUAGAUGAUGUAAACUCUUCAGUGCAGAAUUGUAUUUCAAGCAGGGUAAUAUUUAGGUUUUAAAGACAUCUUUUUAAUUGCAUUGACAGAUCCAUGUUGUCCUUACAUAAUAGGCAGGAUUGGGGUGACUGUAUCCUGAAAUAGUCAUUAAAAACAUAGAGUAAAUUGCAAGACCAUUACGUCUCCAAGGUGGUAUGAAUUAUGGUGUGGCAGUGGUGGUAUGGAUUAUGGCUCAGACUUGCUAUGCAAAAAAGUGCACACUGUGAACACUGUCCUGUUGGGAUGCAUUGCAAAUUCCCCAGAGCAGUGCUCAGGAGGAAGCUCCCUUUCCCAUCCUCUUUUCUCACUAUUUAUGCUUUGGUACUGCAGUUCUCUAAGACCAGUGUCUUGCUUUUGCAUCAGGGCUGGCAAUCUGGUGUACGUGGGAUAAAAGGCUUAUGCCUUUAAACUUGCUCCUGGAGCUUUUGCACACAGACAGGUCUAUAUAUCAACAUUAAAACCACUCCUUCACCCUUGACUCCUGUCUUUAUAGCUCAUUUAAAGUAACCAUUACAAUCUAAGUAUCCUAUUUGUAAAUAAUCACUGAAUUUAGUGGCAAAUGACUGAAAUAUCAGCAGUGCCAUUGUAAGUAUCAGAUACAUGUGAUAUUUCCUGAAUCACAUUCUUAAUCUUGGGAAUACAGAAUCCCAGUCAUGCCAAGCUUUGAUUUUAGAUUACAGGAGUUAAGCUUAAGUCCCCAGUAGUACAUAGAUUUGCCUAACAGAGGAGCAAACUUAAUUUUGACUGGAUCAGAAUUCUUUUUUUGUGCUCAAUAUAUUAAUGUUUGGUAAUAAUAAUUAAACAACAGCAACAAAAACCCAUGACACAAGCAUACUGCAUAUUCUGUGCAGAUGAAAGCUGUUAGCAAAUUUUGGUUGUUCAGAAUAAACAAAGUUGAAAAUGUGCUCUCUUUCGUAUUACUUUAAUCUUAGUGUCGUUACCUAUAAGUAUUCAGCGUAUCUGUGCUCACAAAACCUAGUGAACGUCAAGAAAUUAGUAACAUUCCAAAGAUAUGGUUCAGAGUCUGAGAUUUAAGCCUUAGGAUGGGAUGAAUCGCCCUCUGGAGGUGCCCGUUUCAGUCUACUGGCUUCCCAGGAAUCCUGCCUUAACUGCCUAGCUUAAACUAAAAGUGAAGUGAGUGGACUGUCACCAGAGGAGAGGAGUAACUAAGCCAUGCUGGGUCUUUUCUGUAAACCUUUCUAUUUGUUAAGAAUAGCUACCUUAUUCCUCACCUUUAUUUGUCACUCUUCUUCUUGUACCAUUUAUAAAAUAAGUACAAUUGUUACUGUCACUAUUUUUUGUGUAUUUCCUGCUUGUUUUUUCUUUUCCUGUCCCAUCUUAUUAUCUUUCUCUGUCUUUUUAUCUUUCCCUGGCUUU
This is a long non-coding RNA of Lagopus muta (rock ptarmigan), 7598 nucleotides long. RefSeq lists it as uncharacterized. The transcript is spliced from 6 exons. The record is from RefSeq and is a predicted model, not a curated record. Lineage: Eukaryota; Metazoa; Chordata; Aves; Galliformes; Phasianidae.